This 502-nucleotide unclassified non-coding RNA is filed under the name uncultured Glomeromycotina. RNAcentral's name for it is "SSU rRNA". It matches the Rfam family "Eukaryotic small subunit ribosomal RNA", at positions 591 to 1092 of the family's 1831-position model. The record is from RNAcentral. RNAcentral also lists the same sequence under 1 other name. Lineage: Eukaryota; Fungi; Glomeromycota.
CCAAUAGCGUAUAUUAAAGUUGUUGCAGUUAAAAAGCUCGUAGUUGAACUUCGGGGUUCACCCAUUGGUCAGGCUUAAUUGUCUGUACUGGUGAGAUGAGUCUCUACCUUCUGAGGAACUUUCAUGCCAUUUAUUUGGUGUGAUUGGAAAUCAGGACUGUUACUUUGAAAAAAUUAGAGUGUUUAAAGCAGGCUAACGUCUGAAUACAUUAGCAUGGAAUAAUGAAAUAGGACGGAUUGAUUCUAUUUCGUUGGUUUCUAGGAUCACCGUAAUGAUUAAUAGGGAUAGUUGGGGGCAUUAGUAUUCAAUUGUCAGAGGUGAAAUUCUUGGAUUUAUUGAAGACUAACUACUGCGAAAGCAUUUGCCAAGGAUGUUUUCAUUAAUCAAGAACGAAAGUUAGGGGAUCGAAGACGAUCAGAUACCGUCGUAGUCUUAACCAUAAACUAUGCCGACUAGGGAUCGGACGCAGUUAAUUUUAUAAUGACGUGUUCGGCACCUUACG